CUACGGGACGCUGCAGUGGGGAAUAUUGGACAAUGGGCGAAAGCCUGAUCCAGCAAUGCCGCGUGAGCGAUGAAGGCCUUAGGGUUGUAAAGCUCUUUUACCAGGGAUGAUAAUGACAGUACCUGGAGAAUAAGCUCCGGCUAACUCCGUGCCAGCAGCCGCGGUAAUACGGAGGGAGCUAGCGUUGUUCGGAAUUACUGGGCGUAAAGCGCGCGUAGGCGGCUCAUCAAGUCAGGGGUGAAAUCCCGGGGCUCAACCCCGGAACUGCCUUUGAAACUAGUGAGCUAGAAUCUUGGAGAGGUCAGUGGAAUUCCGAGUGUAGAGGCGAAAUUCGUAGAUAUUCGGAAGAACACCAGUGGCGAAGGCGACUGACUGGACAAGUAUUGACGCUGAGGUGCGAAAGCGUGGGGAGCAAACAGGAUUAGAUACCCUUGUAGUC
This 439-nucleotide ribosomal RNA is filed under the name uncultured bacterium. RNAcentral describes it as "partial 16S ribosomal RNA". It matches the Rfam family "Bacterial small subunit ribosomal RNA", at positions 339 to 795 of the family's 1533-position model. The record is from RNAcentral.